GAUGAAGAACGCAGCGAAAUGCGAUAAGUAAUGUGAAUUGCAGAAUUCAGUGAAUCAUCGAAUCUUUGAACGCACAUUGCGCCCAUUAGUAUUCUAGUGGGCAUGCCUGUUCGAGCGUCAUUAAGUCCACUUAAGCCCUGCUUAGUGUUGGGAGACUGCUCCAGCGGUGCUACCCUGUAGCUACCCUGCAGCUCCUCAAAGACAGCGGCGGAGUUGUGGUAUCCUCUGAGCUUAGUAACUUGUUCUAGCUUUCGAGUAAACCACUUCCCCUGCCGUAAAACCCUUAAUUUUUAAUGGUUGACCUCGUAUCAGGUAGGAAUACCCGCUGAACUUAAGCAUAUCAAUAAGCGGAGGA
RNAcentral lists this unclassified non-coding RNA (355 nucleotides) under soil metagenome. RNAcentral's name for it is "partial contains 5.8S ribosomal RNA, internal transcribed spacer 2, and large subunit ribosomal RNA". The stretch from base 1 to 120 matches the Rfam family "5.8S ribosomal RNA", at positions 35 to 154 of the family's 154-position model. The record is from RNAcentral.